Molecule: transfer RNA, 71 nt
Filed under: Candidatus Pacearchaeota archaeon
Lineage: Archaea; Nanobdellati
Also listed under: 2 other names
Description: tRNA-Gly
Rfam family: tRNA
About the family: Transfer RNA (tRNA) molecules are approximately 80 nucleotides in length. Their secondary structure includes four short double-helical elements and three loops (D, anti-codon, and T loops).
Source: RNAcentral
GCGCUGGUAGUUCAGUGGCAGAAUCUCUGCCUUCCAAGCAGAUGACUCGGGUUCGAAUCCCGACCGGCGCA